AUUGAACGCUGGCGGCAUGCUUUACACAUGCAAGUCGAACGGCAGCGCGGGCUUCGGCCUGGCGGCGAGUGGCGAACGGGUGAGUAAUGCAUCGGAACGUGCCCAGUAGUGGGGGAUAGCCCGGCGAAAGCCGGAUUAAUACCGCAUACGACCUGAGGGUGAAAGCGGGGGACCGAAAGGCCUCGCGCUAUUGGAGCGGCCGACGUCGGAUUAGCUAGUUGGUGGGGUAAAGGCUUACCAAGGCGACGAUCCGUAGCUGGUCUGAGAGGACGACCAGCCACACUGGGACUGAGACACGGCCCAGACUCCUACGGGAGGCAGCAGUGGGGAAUUUUGGACAAUGGGGGCAACCCUGAUCCAGCCAUGCCGCGUGCGGGAAGAAGGCCUUCGGGUUGUAAACCGCUUUUGUUCGGGAAGAAAUCCUCUGGGCUAAUACCCCGGGGGGAUGACGGUACCGGAAGAAUAAGCACCGGCUAACUACGUG
RNAcentral lists this ribosomal RNA (484 nucleotides) under uncultured bacterium. RNAcentral's name for it is "partial 16S ribosomal RNA". It matches the Rfam family "Bacterial small subunit ribosomal RNA", at positions 28 to 507 of the family's 1533-position model. The record is from RNAcentral.